CCUACGGGCGGCAGCAGUGAGGAAUAUUGGUCAAUGGACGUGAGUCUGAACCAGCCAAGUAGCGUGCAGGAUGACUGCCCUAUGGGUUGUAAACUUCUUUUAUACAGGAAUAAAACGCGUCACGUGUGCUUUUUUGUAUGUACUUCAUGAAUAAGGACCGGCUAAUUCCGUGCCAGCAGCCGCGGUAAUACGGAGGAUCCGAGCGUUAUCCGGAUUUAUUGGGUUUAAAGGGAGCGUAGAUGGGUUGUUAAGUCAGUUGUGAAAGUUUGCGGCUCAACCGUGGAAUUGCGAUUGAUACUGGCAGGCUUGAGUACAGUUGAGGUAGGCGGAAUUCGUGGUGUAGCGGUGAAAUGCUUAGAUAUCACGAAGAACCCCGAUUGCGAAGGCAGCUUACUAAAGUGUGACUGACAUUGAUGCUCGAAGGUGUGGGUAUCAAACAGGAUUAGAUACCCUUGUAGUC
Molecule: ribosomal RNA, 460 nt
Filed under: uncultured bacterium
Lineage: Bacteria
Description: partial 16S ribosomal RNA
Rfam family: Bacterial small subunit ribosomal RNA
Source: RNAcentral